RNAcentral lists this non-coding RNA (24 nucleotides) under Cricetulus griseus (Chinese hamster). The record is from RNAcentral. Lineage: Eukaryota; Metazoa; Chordata; Mammalia; Rodentia; Cricetidae.
GGGCGUUUUGGAGAAGGGGAGCAG